AAGAAGGGCCAAUUGUAAGUACAAUUCUUAAUCCUCUCAUUUUUUUCCCUGUUGAAACGUUUUUCUAUUUAAAAUGGACCUGUAGAUCAACUUAAUCUAUAUAAAAUGUUUUCAGUGAAUAAUCUGACAGCCAUAUUUGAGAUCCUUUGAAGCUUUUACUAUUGCAGUGCUAUAGCAAUUCCUAAUGAGAUCCAUCGUACUUUGAACACUUAAAAAGAAUCUGGGCUGGUGUCUUGCAAGAAUGAUUUCGUUAAUUAUCUUGCUUUUUUCCUGGCAGUGCCUUAUAUAUUUUCACAAGGAAUGAAUUUGGGAUCCAGAGUAUGUUAAUCCCAGAGCUGCUGGAAAGACAGGUCCACAUCAUCCCAGUUUUUGCU
RNAcentral lists this long non-coding RNA (374 nucleotides) under Bos taurus (domestic cattle). RNAcentral's name for it is "long non-coding RNA NONBTAT002954". Lineage: Eukaryota; Metazoa; Chordata; Mammalia; Artiodactyla; Bovidae. The record is from RNAcentral.